GCCAAAGUGGCGGAACUGGUAGACGCGCACGACUCAAAAUCGUGUUCUUUCGAGAGUGAGGGUUCGAUUCCCUCCUUUGGUACAA
RNAcentral lists this transfer RNA (85 nucleotides) under Flammeovirgaceae bacterium. Its description in RNAcentral is "tRNA-Leu". It matches the Rfam family "tRNA". From Rfam's summary of the family: Transfer RNA (tRNA) molecules are approximately 80 nucleotides in length. Their secondary structure includes four short double-helical elements and three loops (D, anti-codon, and T loops). Lineage: Bacteria; Pseudomonadati; Bacteroidota; Cytophagia; Cytophagales; Flammeovirgaceae. The record is from RNAcentral.